UACGUAGGGGUCUAGCGUUGUCCGGAAUUAUUGGGCGUAAAGAGCUCGUAGGCGGGAUGGCAAGUCGGUCGUGAAAUCCCUCGGCUCAACCGAGGAACGUCGAUCGAUACUGCUGUUCUUGAGGAUUGCAGAGGAGACUGGAAUUCCCGGUGUAGCGGUGAAAUGUGUAGAGAUCGGGAGGAACACCGGUGGCGAAGGCGGGUCUCUGGGCAAUUCCUGACGCUGAGGCGCGAAAGCGUGGGGAGCAAACGGG
RNAcentral lists this ribosomal RNA (253 nucleotides) under uncultured bacterium. RNAcentral's name for it is "partial 16S ribosomal RNA". It matches the Rfam family "Bacterial small subunit ribosomal RNA", at positions 524 to 776 of the family's 1533-position model. The record is from RNAcentral.